AGUGAGGUAGUUUAAUAAGAACAUUGGGCUCAUGACCUGAAAGUGGGGAUAUAGAUCUCUCCUCUCGCUU
Molecule: transfer RNA, 70 nt
Filed under: Placopecten magellanicus (sea scallop)
Lineage: Eukaryota; Metazoa; Mollusca; Bivalvia; Pectinida; Pectinidae
Description: tRNA-Met
Rfam family: tRNA
About the family: Transfer RNA (tRNA) molecules are approximately 80 nucleotides in length. Their secondary structure includes four short double-helical elements and three loops (D, anti-codon, and T loops). Further hydrogen bonds mediate the characteristic L-shaped molecular structure. tRNAs have two regions of fundamental functional importance: the anti-codon, which is responsible for specific mRNA codon recognition, and the 3' end, to which the tRNAs corresponding amino acid is attached (by aminoacyl-tRNA synthetases). tRNAs cope with the degeneracy of the genetic code in two manners: having more than one tRNA (with a specific anti-codon) for a particular amino acid; and 'wobble' base-pairing, i.e. permitting non-standard base-pairing at the 3rd anti-codon position.
Source: RNAcentral